GAUGAACGCUGGCGGCGUGCCUAAUACAUGCAAGUCGAGCGAACAGAUGAGGAGCUUGCUCCUCUGACGUUAGCGGCGGACGGGUGAGUAACACGUGGAUAACCUACCUAUAAGACUGGGAUAACUUCGGGAAACCGGAGCUAAUACCGGAUAAUAUAUUGAACCGCAUGGUUCAAUAGUGAAAGACGGUUUUGCUGUCACUUAUAGAUGGAUCCGCGCCGCAUUAGCUAGUUGGUAAGGUAACGGCUUACCAAGGCAACGAUGCGUAGCCGACCUGAGAGGGUGAUCGGCCACACUGGAACUGAGACACGGUCCAGCCUCCUACGGGAGGCAGCGGUAGGGAAUCUUCCGCAAUGGGCGAAAGCCUGACGGAGCAACGCCGCGUGAGUGAUGAAGGUCUUCGGAUCGUAAAACUCUGUUAUUAGGGAAGAACAAAUGUGUAAGUAACUAUGCACGUCUUGACGGUACCUAAUCAGAAAGCCACGGCUAACUACGUG
Molecule: ribosomal RNA, 497 nt
Filed under: uncultured bacterium
Lineage: Bacteria
Description: partial 16S ribosomal RNA
Rfam family: Bacterial small subunit ribosomal RNA
Source: RNAcentral